AGUCAGCGAGUGCAUGCAUUUUGGCAACCCUAGGCCUCCCGCCCUGUGGCCCCCUUGGGGUGUGCGCCCUCACUCCCCAGCUGGCUGGGGGGAGGCUGCUGUGUGUGGACCAGCUGAGUCAGGCCCUCACCCUGGGCCACGGGCCACCGUGGCUGUCGCUGAUCUUGCUGACGGGGCUGAAAAUGCAUCGCACCUCCCUCUGCAGCCCGCCAUUACUCAUGGUUGGCGUUUAUCCCCAAGCAAGGGAUGACCCCGCGGAGCAGCCCGGAGCCUCCCACGUGUUCUGAGGCAGGGGUGGCCGGAGGCUGGACUCCGAGGCGGCACAGCAGGACUUGUGAGCAGCUGCUCUGAGUGCCGUGACCAUAUUUUUCUGAGCUGAGAAAUGAGGACACAGGAUGUAGUGGAGGGCUUUCUCAGAUUUGUCUCAUCAGAGGUAUGAAAGUUAAAGCUUAUUUAGCUAUGUAGAUAAGGGAGUGUCUUUGCUGAAAAGAACCCGGGUUUCCCAAAUCAGGGAGAUUCGGGAAAUUAAUAAGUCAAUUGGACUAAUCUUUUGGGGGCACCUGGGUCAAGCCUGUCCUUGGUGUUGGCACUACAGCAAGGAGCAAAAACAGGCAUGAUCCUGGCCUCGUGGAACUCGUGUGGGGUGGCUGAGAGUCUGCAAAUGCUCGCACGGUUCAGUACCGUGAGCACAUGUGAGAAUUGCUAUGGGGGGGGGGCGGCAAGGGUUCCCGAGUGGAGGAGCUUGGGGUGUCCUGGAAGGCUUCUCUGAAGAAUUAAUGUUUGAGGGGAAACAGAGCCUCUUAAGGUGAACUGUUGAAGGGAUGGGAGUGGAGUGGGGUGGGGAAAGCACAUUUCAGGCAGGAAGGAGGGCAUGUGCAAAGGGCCUGUGGCAGAAAGGAGUGCUGGGAGUCUGAGGGACAAGAGGGCAGCCCAGUGACUGGGAUGUGAUGAGCGAUGGGAAGAGGAAGUUGGAGGUGUCGGCAGGGGCCAGGCCGGGCCACGCCCACCAGUCCACGAGUGUGGGGUACGUUCUCCUGCUGGUCGCGGGCAGCCAUGGACGGUUUGACACAGCGAUCAUCGGAGACAGGAAAAUCGAAAGCGCAUGAGAUACCGCUCCACAGAAAAUAACAAGUGCUGGUGAGGAUGUGGA
Long non-coding RNA from Leopardus geoffroyi (Geoffroy's cat), 1150 nucleotides. RefSeq lists it as uncharacterized. NCBI's taxonomy places the organism in Eukaryota, Metazoa, Chordata, Mammalia, Carnivora, Felidae. The transcript is spliced from 2 exons. The record is from RefSeq and is a predicted model, not a curated record.